CUUUUUGGCUGCAAAAAGCGAAUUGUUAUUUCACUAUUUCACUUUUAUUAUUGAUUGAACAGAAAAAAAUCAAACUUAAUAUUUUUGAUGUACCUCGUAGCUAGUGCCCCUUUAAAAUAUCAUUUUCGUACUUGGUUAUAAAUGCAUAUCAGCAACGUUUUAUUUGUCCAACUAUUGAUAACAAAACGCCGACUAGAAAAACAAACAAAUGAUGAUGAGAGGACUGAAACUGAUAUUGUGUACAUAAUUGCGUGUGGGGAUGUCAUUGUUUAAACUUUUUGCUGUGAUAAAUGGACUAUUAAGACGACAUGAUAGUAAAUGAAAUUGACAAAUUUUCCUAUUUACUGCUGUCAAUUUUCGUAGAUGUUUGACGUCUAUUGGAAAAUAACAAGUGAAAGUAAAUCUUAAAGUUUGUUUAUGCCUUCGCCACUUAGACCCGUUUACACCCACCAGUAAAAGAAUAGAUUAUGAAUAAAGAUCAAUACUUAUUCCAAUGGAAUCCAGAGAAAUCGAUCUCAAAUCAGACGGGGAAAAUUUACCUCCAAAGUUUUUAAAAAUAUUGAUCUUUCUUCGCGUGUAAACGAUCGAUCCUCCGCAAAGUGAAAGUGUUAUAAUACAUCUGUGUAUGUUCGUCUGUAACAAAAACACACGUAUUCAAAACAAGGGAUCGGUAAAGAGAAAUAUUGUUGAGUCUUGACACAACUGUCCAUGUCAUUAAUAAUAAUUGAAUACGUCAGACGCGCGUUUCGUCUAAAAUAAGACUCAUCAGUGACGCUCAGAUCAAAACAGUAAGAAAGCCAAACAAGUACAAAGUUGACGAGCAUCGUUAUCUGUGCCUUGGAUAACAAAAAUCCUUAAUAUUCGGAAUAAAUAAACUCAUCAUAGGAUACAAGGAAUAAAUUUUAUGUAUACGCCAGACGCGCGUUUCGUCUACAAAAG
This 939-nucleotide long non-coding RNA is filed under the name Mytilus galloprovincialis (Mediterranean mussel). The record is from RNAcentral. Lineage: Eukaryota; Metazoa; Mollusca; Bivalvia; Mytilida; Mytilidae.